GCCCUUCCGGAACACAGUACUGGCCUCAGCCAGCCCACGGCCAGCUCAGGCAAGGUACCUGGCACGCGUGGCUUCUCACAGUUUGGGAAGAUACAGCCCAGUGACCCCACGCCCAGCACCGUGGCCUGGAGGUGCACCCACAACCCCCAACACAGAGCCACAUGUCUUAGUCUGAGCACGCCAAGACCUCAACUUCUCAGUUUUCUGAUCCAGAACCACAGAACUGAAAGCCCACAGGGUCGUCUAGCCCCUGCCCAUGACAUCUUGGACUACGUAAUGGCACAGGGGAACCACCAAUCUUAGAUUUUGAUUUUCCAGGCCAUCUGUGUUCUGGGCACGUAGUAGGCCCUCCAUCAUGACUUGCCAAGUGUAUGAAUGAGCCAGGCCUCCCCAUCUGGCCCGAUGACAAGCUAGCUUGUCCCGCAGUUCAUGGUUCCCAUCCAGGCAGCUGCUUCUCUUGACUUCACCAGAGCAGACAACCCAUCGCUCAGCCACAGGUUGGUGGGGCUGGGACAAGUGUCUGGUGGUGGUGGUCGGUGGCCCUGGGCUUUGAGGAUUGGACACAGCCCCUGAGCUGAUGAAGAAGCAAUUUUGCACGGAAGCUUCUUUCUGGAGCCAUCAGAAGGGAAGAUGCCACGCUCGGCGCACUCCAGAGCUGGAACGCUGUAGGGACCAACAGCCCAGACCCUGCUUUGGUUGCAUUUCAGGCUAGAAGACAUUCCUUCUUGUUUGGCAGCAGCCCUUGGAUGUGACUUUUAGUAUGCUCAUUGCCGUGUCAUUGAUUUGUCCCCCUGAGCAGUGGAGAGAAUCGUCAAGUUCUGGGACAGUCAGGCUGUUGGGAAAAUCAUGAAAUUUGCCCCACAGUUGGUCUUUCAAAACCCUGGUAUCUUUUAAUCAAAUGUGAAC
This is a long non-coding RNA of Canis lupus familiaris (dog), 906 nucleotides long. RefSeq lists it as uncharacterized. The record is from RefSeq and is a predicted model, not a curated record. The transcript has 3 exons. Lineage: Eukaryota; Metazoa; Chordata; Mammalia; Carnivora; Canidae.